Molecule: long non-coding RNA, 2102 nt
Organism: Ahaetulla prasina
Lineage: Eukaryota; Metazoa; Chordata; Lepidosauria; Squamata; Colubridae
Exons: 4
Source: RefSeq, a predicted model, not a curated record
AAACAUAAUAAACAGAGGAAAACUGAUGGCAAGACAACCACUCUGCAAUUUAACUGUGUAAAUGAUCUAUACUACUUGUGCAAAUCCUACCAUUCAAAAUGAUACUAAGGCCACAUACAUCAAUGAAGAGACUUUCUGCUGAUUUUCUGUAGCCUUUUAAGUAAAUAUAUUUCGUUUGGGAAAUAGAAUAUACAAUCCUUAAACUAGAGAACCUGUUAUUUUUUAUUUAAAUGAACUAUAGGAAUUUAGCACCCACCCCCGCUCCUAGAAGAAUGAAAUAUUUUAGAAAAUAUUUAAAAAGGCAGAAUAUAUUUCCCUGGAUGAGAAAUGGAGAAACAUGUUUUAAAGACAAAGCAGCUUCCUGACUACCCCCCCCCCACCUUUGUCAAUGGGCCAUUAAAGCCUCAGCCAAGCUCACUCACUCCCCCCACCUUUGUCAAUGGGUCAGAGGUAGAAACUCAUUCUCCCCACCUUUGUCAAUGGGCCAUCAUCAACUGCAACAUAAUAGGACCCAUCUAGCAACAGAAACUCACCACAUGACACCUGGGAAGAUUACAACAGCCAGCAAGGCUAGCUAAGACCCCCCCACCCCCUGGGAGUCUGACAGCCAAUCAGGGUACUCUUCUUGUGCCCCAGGAAAUUCAAAGCUCAGAAAAAGCAUAAAGCUAGGGAGUGCACAGGAUCUCAUCCCCUUUUUUCUGUUUAGGAACUCAAGCCAUGUGAUCCUGACCACCAUUAAACCAUCUUUCCAAGCACCCUCCAUGUUUCCAGUGUCUUUGUCCCCACUUGGAACUGAACCCAGAUGGAUAUUUCUUCCAACAGAACAUAUUAAAAUAGUCUAGGAGAGAAAAAUAGCAGAGUGAAUUAUAACUGAAUCUUAUAAUCAGAAUGGCUGCCGGCUAUGAAGAAACAGAACCAGUGAAACAGAAAUAAAUUAUAGACUAGGAUGGAUAUAUUUCUAAGAAUAUAGCACAGAGCAAAAACUCCAGAAGCAGCCUAAAAUACAGAUGAUGAUUUCAAAGAAUUAGAAAACAGUUUACAAAACUUUUUCAAUGACUCAACAUUAUACAUAACAGAGAUACGAGCAAAACAAUGUAUUUAUUCAUGUCUGACUACAAGCAAUCACUUUAUUCAGAUCAUGUGAAUUUAUGGAAUUUUUAAAUUCUUGGAAUGAAGCAAACAAGUGCUUAACAAUGGAAGAUUUAUAUUACUGAAUAAACAAUUGUCAAAUAUGGAAAGCUCCAAAUACAGUACAUUCAAGUAAGAAGUUCUUAAUAUUUCAGUCUGACAUUGUGGGAUAUUUUCUAAAUUAACAUUUUUAAUUUGUGUUUUUAAAUAUUCUUUUCUUGUCAAGAUUUUUUCAACAUAGGCCAGUCUCAUUUGGAAUGGGCAUAACUAUUAUUUUUCAGAAUAUUGUAUGGCAGAUAGAAUAUGAAUACCUCAUCUUUAGAAGUUUUAGCUUUAUAUAUCACUUAUCAAUGCUAAAAAUGAUCAGAAUGAACUGAGAAAAAGGCUGAAGACAUUUAGCUCUCUCUCUUUUUAUGAUAGCUACAACCUGGACACAUAUAAUUGGCUAAUAUCAUGGCCCAGGACUUAAGACUAUGACUCUGAAGAAGCUGCUCCAACUGAACAAAUGAAAUGUCAGACUCAGGAGACGCAAAGUCAGCAGUCAAACUGGCUGAUCAAACACAAGCACUUAUUAGAACAAUUGAACUAGUCAGAUUAUGAUGUAUGGGUUCCAAGCUCUCCUGCAAAUACAGUGGAGAAGGAGAGCAUAAGCAAAGAUGCUUGGUGCUGCUCCUUGCCAAGCGAGGAAGUAAAUCUAUGGCUGGUGAUAGCCUGCUUUAAGAGGCAGCCCCGACUCAUGUUCCUCAAUUGGAUUUUCUGAUUUCCUGUUCUGGUGUGUUAUUUCUGUGAAUCAUGCUCAUGAAACUCUGACCUUGGAUUGGCUAAGAAACCUGAGUUAUCUCUCUGAAUUUUGGCAUGGAUUUUGACUAUUUUUCUGUGGGCUUUUGUUGACAGCAAAACCACCCAGGCGAGCUUUCUUUCCAAGAAACUUUACAUUUCUUCCCUUUUCUCUUAUUUGCUCAGCUUUGAUUAAA